UACGUAGGGUGCGAGCGUUGUCCGGAAUUAUUGGGCGUAAAGGGCUCGUAGGCGGUUUGUCGCGUCGGGAGUGAAAACAUCCAGCUUAACUGGGUGCUUGCUUUCGAUACGGGCAGACUUGAGGUAUGCAGGGGAGAAUGGAAUUCCAGGUGUAGCGGUGAAAUGCGCAGAUAUCAGGAGGAACACCGGUGGCGAAGGCGGUUCUCUGGGCAUUACCUGACGCUGAGGAGCGAAAGUGUGGGGAGCGAACAGG
This 253-nucleotide ribosomal RNA is filed under the name uncultured bacterium. RNAcentral describes it as "partial 16S ribosomal RNA". It matches the Rfam family "Bacterial small subunit ribosomal RNA", at positions 524 to 776 of the family's 1533-position model. The record is from RNAcentral.